Molecule: ribosomal RNA, 254 nt
Filed under: uncultured bacterium
Lineage: Bacteria
Description: partial 16S ribosomal RNA
Rfam family: Bacterial small subunit ribosomal RNA
Source: RNAcentral
UACGGAGGGUGCGAGCGUUGUCCGGAAUCACUGGGCGUAAAGGGCGCGUAGGCGGCCUGAUAAGUAGGGGGUGAAAUCCUGCGGCUUAACCGCAGGGCUGCCUUCUAAACUGUCAGGCUAGAGCACAGUAGAGGCAGGUGGAAUUCCCGGUGUAGCGGUGGAAUGCGUAGAGAUCGGGAAGAACAUCAGUGGCGAAGGCGGCCUGCUGGGCUGUUGCUGACGCUGAGGCGCGACAGCGUGGGGAGCAAACAGGG